AUAAAUAAAGUGUCUCGUUGUAAGGUAGGCCAAGAGAAAGCCUUGUGUGUGCAUUGUUUCCUAAGCUAACAAGUGAAUAAGAGAAUUACAAAGCAUAUCUCCCUGAGGUAGUGCCAUGAACUCUCUCUUGUAAUGAAAGAUUACAAGUCCAUAAUGCUCCAAAGUUGCAUAGGUCAAUCACAAAAGUCCAAGAUCCAAGCAAGGGUACAAACAAG
This 215-nucleotide long non-coding RNA is filed under the name Lathyrus oleraceus (garden pea). Its description in RNAcentral is "Pisum sativum (pea) long non-coding RNA (PSAT_LNC021212)". The record is from RNAcentral. Lineage: Eukaryota; Viridiplantae; Streptophyta; Magnoliopsida; Fabales; Fabaceae.